UAAGGGUACAUAGAAUGAAUUGAAAAGUUCGAUUUUGGGAACUUACCGGUUGAAGAACGAAGAACGACGAAGAACCAACGAAGAACGACAAAGAAUGGUUGAAAAUCUUCGCGAAAUCACUCACAGAAACGUCUUUGAAGCGUUACGGAAGCACCUCGGCUUGGAUUUUCUUCACGGAAACAAUUUUUCUCACUAAUUUUAAGUGAUUCUCAG
Molecule: long non-coding RNA, 213 nt
Filed under: Glycine max (soybean)
Lineage: Eukaryota; Viridiplantae; Streptophyta; Magnoliopsida; Fabales; Fabaceae
Description: long non-coding RNA (GMAX_LNC001012)
Source: RNAcentral